This is a long non-coding RNA of Tachysurus vachellii, 410 nucleotides long. RefSeq lists it as uncharacterized. The record is from RefSeq and is a predicted model, not a curated record. The transcript is spliced from 3 exons. Lineage: Eukaryota; Metazoa; Chordata; Actinopteri; Siluriformes; Bagridae.
CUCCCCGACGGGAGUCGCCUCUUCACGUUCGCUACAAAGAAUCGACUCAAGCCUCUGCCCCUUUUGUCUAAAAGUGUAAAGUGCCGUUCUCUUAUUAGUAGUAUUAUUAUUAUAAUAAAUAACAAUACACUUCCAUACCUGCCAGUAACAAUAAUAAUUAACAAAAAAAAAAAGAAUUAGGCGGACGUCUUUACAGCCGCGAGUCUUCAAAAGCAGCAGACAGAAUGCCAAGGAAAGAAAGGAUCAAAAGAAAAAACACAAGGAACUCUCUGAUGCAGCUAAAGGUAGCAUCUCUCUCACAAGUUGGCUGAGGAGAGAGAAUAAAGAUGAAGGUUUUUUGCAAAGAGCAUUCAAACUAUGACCAAAUCCAAGGAGGACACUUUAGAGCAGGAAAAAGAAUCAAUUAGGGU